GAGGAUAUAGCUCAGUGGUAGAGCGUGUGCUUAACAUGCAUGAGGUUCUGGGUUCAAUCCCCAGUACCUCCA
Molecule: transfer RNA, 72 nt
Filed under: Camelus bactrianus (Bactrian camel)
Lineage: Eukaryota; Metazoa; Chordata; Mammalia; Artiodactyla; Camelidae
Also listed under: 1 other name
Rfam family: tRNA
About the family: Transfer RNA (tRNA) molecules are approximately 80 nucleotides in length. Their secondary structure includes four short double-helical elements and three loops (D, anti-codon, and T loops).
Source: Rfam by way of RNAcentral